RNAcentral lists this long non-coding RNA (357 nucleotides) under Populus trichocarpa (black cottonwood). RNAcentral describes it as "long non-coding RNA (PTRI_LNC003948)". The record is from RNAcentral. Lineage: Eukaryota; Viridiplantae; Streptophyta; Magnoliopsida; Malpighiales; Salicaceae.
GAAUUGUUUUGAUCAAAUCUUAGCCGUCUGAAGUGCGAUUUGGACGAUUUCAGACUUGUUUCCAGCUAAUUUGAUCAUUUCGGAUGCAAUGGUAUGGUCCGAUCGUUGAGAUUUGAGACCGAAAGUGGUAGUGAUGAAUUAACAAAAGAGAUUGCCCGAUCAGGAGGCAUCUGAAGGUCAUCAUGGUGGUCGUUGAAGAGAAGAAGAAGAAGGUGCACAUGUUUACCCAAUUACAUGUGCUGAACUGCUAAGUGGGGAGAAAUUUAACUGCCUUGAGGGAAGGCAAAAUUGGGACACUCUCGACACCCGAUCAAGUGGACAAUUAGAGGUGUAGAGUGAAAACUGAUGAAGACCAAU